This 36-nucleotide small RNA is filed under the name Vibrio cholerae O1 biovar El Tor str. N16961. The record is from RNAcentral. Lineage: Bacteria; Pseudomonadati; Pseudomonadota; Gammaproteobacteria; Vibrionales; Vibrionaceae.
CAAGAUCAAUCUAACCCAUUUGUCACGGCGGCGAAA